AUAUUCAUGCAGCACUGACAAUAAGAAAAAAAAGAAAUGAGCUAAUAUUAAGACGGGUUAGCUCCAUUUCCCCAUACUACCAACAGCAUACUUCAACAGUGAAUUUAGUGGUAAAACAAAAUGACCAUUCAGCAAUAAGGAAUCGAGUCUUUACACUUGAGUAGGUGUCUUCUAGUAAGCCUCCAGCCUUACAGAAUAAAACUAAAAACUGCUAGCAGACUCACAAUAUAAAAAAAAUAAAUAAAUAA
This 248-nucleotide unclassified non-coding RNA is filed under the name Hevea brasiliensis (rubber tree). The record is from RNAcentral. Lineage: Eukaryota; Viridiplantae; Streptophyta; Magnoliopsida; Malpighiales; Euphorbiaceae.